CGACGGGUGAGUAACACGUGGAUAACCUACCUAUAAGACUGGGAUAACUUCGGGAAACCGGAGCUAAUACCGGAUAAUAUUUUGAACCGCAUGGUUCAAAAGUGAAAGACGGUCUUGCUGUCACUUAUAGAUGGAUCCGCGCUGCAUUAGCUAGUUGGUAAGGUAACGGCUUACCAAGGCAACGAUGCAUAGCCGACCUGAGAGGGUGAUCGGCCACACUGGAACUGAGACACGGUCCAG
This 240-nucleotide ribosomal RNA is filed under the name uncultured Staphylococcus sp. RNAcentral describes it as "partial 16S ribosomal RNA". It matches the Rfam family "Bacterial small subunit ribosomal RNA", at positions 102 to 334 of the family's 1533-position model. The record is from RNAcentral. Lineage: Bacteria; Bacillati; Bacillota; Bacilli; Caryophanales; Staphylococcaceae.